CGGAGGGUGCAAGCGUUAUCCGGAUUUACUGGGUUUAAAGGGUGCGUAGGUGGGUAGGUAAGUCAGUGGUGAAAUCUUCGAGCUUAACUCGGAAACUGCCAUUGAUACUAUUUAUCUUGAAUACUCUGGAGGUAAGCGGAAUAUGUCAUGUAGCGGCGAAAUGCUUAGAUAUGACAUAGAACACCAAUUGCGAAGGCAGCUUACUACAUAGUUAUUGACGCUGAGGCACGAAAGCGUGGGGAUCAAACAGGAUUAGAUACCCUGGUAGUCCACGCCCUAAACGAUGGAUACUCGACAUCAGCGAUACACUGUUGGUGUCUGAGCGAAAGCAUUAAGUAUCCCACCUGGGAAGUACGAUCGCAAGAUUG
RNAcentral lists this ribosomal RNA (368 nucleotides) under uncultured organism. RNAcentral describes it as "bacterial SSU rRNA". It matches the Rfam family "Bacterial small subunit ribosomal RNA", at positions 526 to 896 of the family's 1533-position model. The record is from RNAcentral.